RNAcentral lists this ribosomal RNA (403 nucleotides) under uncultured bacterium. Its description in RNAcentral is "partial 16S ribosomal RNA". It matches the Rfam family "Bacterial small subunit ribosomal RNA", at positions 28 to 526 of the family's 1533-position model. The record is from RNAcentral.
GACGAACGCUGGCGGCGUGCUUAAUACAUGCAAGUCGAACGCAGUGGGGACGGGAGAGUAACACGUGGGUAACCUUCCAUCAGAGGGGAUAACACUUGGAAACAGGUGCUAAAUCGACAAUGAUGGAUGGACCCGCGGUGCAUUAGCUAGUUGGUGAGGUAACGGCGCACCAAGGCCACGAUGCAUAGCCGACCUGAGAGGGGUAUCGGCCACCCUGUUACUGAGACACGGCCCAGACGCCUACGGGAGGCAGCAGUAGGGAAGCUGCGGCAAUGGACGAAAGGCUGACCGAGCAACGCCGCGUGAGUGAAGAAGGUUUUCGGGUCGUAGAACUCUGUUGUUAGAUAAGCGGUAUCUAACCAGAAAGCCACGGCUAACUACGUGCCAGCAGCCGCGGUAAUUC